AAAUUGACAAACCAUCCCAGAUGCAAGUGACCGAUGUUCAGGACAACAGCAUUAGUGUCAAGUGGCUGCCUUCAAGUUCCCCUGUUACUGGUUACAGAGUAACCACCACUCCCAAAAAUGGACCAGGACCAACAAAAACUAAAACUGCAGGUCCAGAUCAAACAGAAAUGACUAUUGAAGGCUUGCAGCCCACAGUGGAGUAUGUGGUUAGUGUCUAUGCUCAGAAUCCAAGCGGAGAGAGUCAGCCUCUGGUUCAGACUGCAGUAACCAUGUCAAGCAAGGAAUUUACAGAGAAAGAAGUUGUGAAACCACCAUAACAUUGAUCGCCCUAAAGGACUGGCAUUCACUGAUGUGGAUGUCGAUUCCAUCAAAAUUGCUUGGGAAAGCCCACAGGGGCAAGUUUCCAGGUACAGGGUGACCUACUCGAGCCCUGAGGAUGGAAUCCAUGAGCUAUUCCCUGCACCUGAUGGUGAAGAAGACACUGCAGAGCUGCAAGGCCUCAGACCGGGUUCUGAGUACACAGUCAGUGUGGUUGCCUUGCACGAUGAUAUGGAGAGCCAGCCCCUGAUUGGAACCCAGUCCACAGCUAUUCCUGCACCAACUGACCUGAAGUUCACUCAGGUCACACCCACAAGCCUGAGCGCCCAGUGGACACCACCCAAUGUUCAGCUCACUGGAUAUCGAGUGCGGGUGACCCCC
RNAcentral lists this small RNA (699 nucleotides) under Pan troglodytes (chimpanzee). RNAcentral describes it as "processed transcript". Lineage: Eukaryota; Metazoa; Chordata; Mammalia; Primates; Hominidae. The record is from RNAcentral.